This 236-nucleotide ribosomal RNA is filed under the name uncultured Actinomycetales bacterium. RNAcentral describes it as "partial 16S ribosomal RNA". It matches the Rfam family "Bacterial small subunit ribosomal RNA", at positions 95 to 334 of the family's 1533-position model. Lineage: Bacteria; Bacillati; Actinomycetota; Actinomycetes; Actinomycetales. The record is from RNAcentral.
GUUGCGAACGGGUGAGUAACACGUGGGUGAUCUGCCCUGCACUUCGGGAUAAGCCUGGGAAACUGGGUCUAAUACCGGAUAGGAGCCAUUUUUAGUGUGAUGGUUGGAAAGUUUUUUCGGUGUAGGAUGAGCUCGCGGCCUAUCAGCUUGUUGGUGGGGUAAUGGCCUACCAAGGCGGCGACGGGUAGCCGACCUGAGAGGGUGGACGGCCACAUUGGGACUGAGAUACGGCCCAG